GGAUAGUGGCGACGGGUGAGUAACACGUGGGCAAUCUGCCCUGCACUCUGGGACAAGCCCUGGAAACGGGGUCUAAUACCGGAUACUGACCCGCCUGGGCAUCCAGGCGGUUCGAAAGCUCCGGCGGUGCAGGAUGAGCCCGCGGCCUAUCAGCUUGUUGGUGAGGUAAUGGCUCACCAAGGCGACGACGGGUAGCCGGCCUGAGAGGGCGACCGGCCACACUGGGACUGAGACACGGCCCAGACUCCUACGGGAGGCAGCAGUGGGGAAUAUUGCACAAUGGGCGCAAGCCUGAUGCAGCGACGCCGCGUGAGGGAUGACGGCCUUCGGGUUGUAAACCUCUUUCAGCAGGGAAGAAGCGCAAGUGACGGUACCUGCAGAAGAAGCGCCGGCUAACUACGUGCCAGCAGCCGCGGUAAUACGUAGGGCGCGAGCGUUGUCCGGAAUUAUUGGGCGUAAAGAGCUCGUAGGCGGUCUGUCACGUCGGAUGUGAAAGCCCGGGGCUUAACCCCGGGUCUGCAUUCGAUACGGGCAGACUAGAGUGUGGUAGGGGAGAUCGGAAUUCCUGGUGUAGCGGUGAAAUGCGCAGAUAUCAGGAGGAACACCGGUGGCGAAGGCGGAUCUCUGGGCCAUUACUGACGCUGAGGAGCGAAAGCGUGGGGAGCGAACAGGAUUAGAUACCCUGGUAGUCCACGCCGUAAACGGUGGGAACUAGGUGUUGGCGACAUUCCACGUCGUCUGUGCCGCAGCUAACGCAUUAAGUUCCCCGCCUGGGGAGUACGGCCGCAAGGCUAAACUCAAAGGAAUUGACGGGGCC
RNAcentral lists this ribosomal RNA (817 nucleotides) under Streptomyces sp. Its description in RNAcentral is "bacterial SSU rRNA". It matches the Rfam family "Bacterial small subunit ribosomal RNA", at positions 90 to 920 of the family's 1533-position model. Lineage: Bacteria; Bacillati; Actinomycetota; Actinomycetes; Kitasatosporales; Streptomycetaceae. The record is from RNAcentral.